Prionailurus viverrinus (fishing cat) is the source of this 283-nucleotide long non-coding RNA. RefSeq lists it as uncharacterized. The transcript has 3 exons. The record is from RefSeq and is a predicted model, not a curated record. Lineage: Eukaryota; Metazoa; Chordata; Mammalia; Carnivora; Felidae.
CAACUUCAGCUCAGGUCAUGAUCUCAUGGUUGGUCAACCGAGGCUGAGGAGAAAAGCAACGUUUGCAUCUCAGACACUGUGUUGGUGAAAUGGAUUAACUUUGGUCUUCCCAGGCCGACCAAACACUCUCAUCAUCUGUGAUGAUGACUAUACUGAGAAAGUCGAAACAAUCAUGUGUUAUCGGUGAUACUACACUCUUUCCAGUGGGGGCAGACCAUCUUUUCCCCCACCCGCCUCCCCAUCACUGUAGUGAAGGAAGCCUGCCGCAAAAGAGAGUAUCCUG